CAAUAGCGUAUAUUAAAGUUGUUGCAGUUAAAAAGCUCGUAGUUGGAUUUCUGGUGGGUGCGAUCGGUCUGGCGCUUAGCGCGAGUACUUGCAUCGUCUCCGGCCAUCCUUGGGGAGAGUCUGUCUGGCAUUAAGUUGUCGGGCAGAGGAUCCUCAUCGUUUACUGUGAAAAAAUUAGAGUGUUCAAAGCAGGCUUAUGCCGUUGAAUAUAUUAGCAUGGAAUAAUAAGAUAGGACUUUGGUACUAUUUUGUUGGUUUGCGCACCAAAGUAAUGAUUAAUAGGGACAGUUGGGGGUAUUCGUAUUCCGUUGUCAGAGGUGAAAUUCUUGGAUUUACGGAAGACGAACUACUGCGAAAGCAUUUACCAAGGAUGUUUUCAUUAA
Molecule: ribosomal RNA, 383 nt
Filed under: uncultured eukaryote
Lineage: Eukaryota
Description: partial 18S ribosomal RNA
Rfam family: Eukaryotic small subunit ribosomal RNA
Source: RNAcentral